CCUACAAGUUCAACAUUUGCACAAUAUUCAGUUCUUGUAGUACAAAUGUCUCCCUCCCCGCACGCCAUCCUCGGCACCCCUCACUCGCGCCACGGCCGCAGCUUCACUCCCGUGCGCCACCCUCGGCUGUCGCGCCAUGGCCUGCGCUCAGCGGCUGCGGGUGGAGCCGCUGGGUCGAGGAACUUUGCCUCGACAGUACAACAGCACACUCUGUUGUAGGUCGCGAUAAGAACUGCGCACAGGCCACCCCGUGUCCGCCCUCGAUCCGUCUUAGUCAUCUCCCUCUCAUCCUCUCUCUAUCUCUGGUCUGCGUUUGUGUGUGCAGGGAGUGGGAGGAGAUAGAGCAGGGGAGUGGGAGGCCCUUCCAUGGCAAAUCCGUCGGCAUCUUCCAUGGAUUGCGACCUCUCUUGAUUUUUGCUUGAUGAUUUCUCCUCUGGAUCUGUAGACUGUAGUUCCUGCAUAGCGGUGUCCUUUUUUCUAGUGUUCCACUUUCGAUGUUGAUGCAUGUGUUUAAUAACCCCACUGAUACGAAUUCUGAAAACAAGCUUCAGUACAAGAAAAAUCGGUCCUUCAGUUCAAUUCUGAAUUAUAAGUGUGUAAACACAUCCUGCUUAGACAGUAACUAAUUAACUAUGAUAACCAUGUUCAGACUUCUACAAAUCCCAAAACUAUGCAGAGUUAGGAUUGUUACUACCUUGUUUCUUACUAUUGAUUCAAUUUUUAUGAGAAGGUAUUAAUAUGGUACAUGUAGUUGGACAUCUCAAUGUAAUGUAAUGUGUUUUUUUGCAUAUUACCUUGAAAUUAUGUUAGCAAUUCUGAAUUGCGAUUGUGCUUGAAACUGAAAAUAAUUCUGUAACUUCUCAAACCUCGUGGACUUGAUGCUUAAAAUACUUCCAGAACGAAUUGAUUCUUGUUUCUUUCAUGAUCAGUUCAGCAAAAAAAAAGUUCAGUCCAAUUUCAAAUUCUCAUUUGAGUUUAGUCAAAGUUUCUCAUUUUAGUUGAGUACAAUAUCCAAGUUUAUUUCAGUUCAAUUCUUAUUUUAGUUUUAGUUCAUUUCAAUUCUUAUUUUAGUCAAUCUGUAGUCUAUGGAUUUUAUUUGGCCUAGAUUGCUAGAUGUACUAACUUGUUGUGCCAAGGCAAUCUAAAACAUUAAGUGUUGCUACUGUAAUUUGUUCAUUGUUUCACGCCUUCCCGUAGAUGCACGCCGCCCUGAGACGCGCGCCCACCGCCUCCCCGUCGAUGUGCGCCGCCAUGCCUUCCUACAGACGCGCGCCGCUCCGCUGCCUCAGCGACCAUAUCGUUCAAACUCAGCCACCUAGGCCGUUCAGUUGGCGGCGUUCCUACAGCUGCAGAUGUGGUGCUGACAGUAGUAGGCGCUGGUUGUGUUGGAUAAAAUGCCUAGGAGCUCCCAUGAUUUAUACAUGGAACCUAGAUGAUUCCGUUUCUUCAUUCCCCCAAGUGCUUCAAUGCUGGCUCCUUCUUGGCUGGCUCGAUCGCUGCUGGGUUAGGUGGGCGUAGGUGUGGGUUUACAUGGAAGCUGGCACCGCUCUUGUGUUAUUUUCUCUAGCGAUUGAGAAAUUGAUACACUCUUUUUAAUGCGUAAUUUUAUCUGCUCACAACCUGUUUGUAUUAAAAGCCAAAUAGCUUGAGAAUAGAAACCUGUUCGAGCUUAGCUGAGAGGAUUUUGAAUCGUUGUGUGAGGAAGUGUGGACAUGGCCUUGAGAUAAUGCAUGCUGCUUUAUUCAUAAAGAGAUGGUGCCGUUGAUUUUAUUCAAAGGAAACUGAACCAAAACAGUGCUUGCUACUAGUGUUUGGAAAUUAUAAUUACUAGAACUCUUAUUUCUUACCCUUUUAAUUGUUGGCUAAUUCUUGUAAAAAGUAGUGGUUAAUCUUGCUAAUUACUUUGAUGUGAUGCCUAGGUGGUCAGUCCAGCUCCUGCAACCAACACAGGUCGUUACCCCCUUUGCCACAAUGGCAGGAGCACAAAUACCAGUGUGGCCGUCCUCAACCAGUUCCUUCACGCAGCCUCCGCGCAAGCCCUGCUCAUGUAUGCUUACACCAAAAGUACAACUCUUGUUACUCUCCUCGUACUUGCUCUUGCUUAUUUUCUAAUCAAUAAUUCCUAUUGCUUCCUCUUGGGGAAAGGGAUCCCAUGUUGAAUCUGUCUUGGUGCUCACCCGCUGUUUAUAUUCAUCACCAUAGUGUACGAAACAUAUGAAAACCAUUCUGGCUUCGGGAGAAAAUAUAACCAGUACAUGUGCAAUUGCGUGAGAAGUUCCCUUACGAAAGUUCCUUGUAAACAAACCACAUGAAAGUUCGUCAAGAAAAACUUUGUAAGUUCAAAAUGGCUAUAGGAAAACUUCGUAGGUUCAGAUGGGUAUAGAAAACUUUGUAAGUUCAAAAUGGGCACGCCUAAUAGUGCAUGAAUAAAAAAUUUAAACCCAACAAAGUCCAUGUUGGUCGGUCUACAGUGUGUUGUCAAGAAGGUUGUUGGCCUUGGAGGCCGACACUGGCUGAUCAUCUACCUUCCAAUUAUAUUAGGCAUAUACCACUGAAACUGCAGGUCGCGGCCUCCUCCCACCUAGGUGGUGCCCUCCUCCCGCAUAGCCUAUUAGUUGGCGUACCGUGACCCCUCCUCAUAUUUUUGAUUAUACACUAUACACAUGAUACUUUUACUGGGACCAGAGUAUUACUUCCAGG
Non-coding RNA from Triticum urartu, 2700 nucleotides. The record is from RefSeq and is a predicted model, not a curated record. NCBI's taxonomy places the organism in Eukaryota, Viridiplantae, Streptophyta, Magnoliopsida, Poales, Poaceae.